UCGGGAAAGUGCUGAUAAGAGGCAAUCUGUUGGACUUAUUUCAUCUAUGCCAUAUGGAAUUGAUGGUAAGUCUAAUAACGGUGGUAGGGGUACUGCAGCAAAAAGCAUCUCAAGGAGGGUUGUUGUGCCUAAUAGACAACCAAAACAAACAUUUGAAUCAGAAGGUUUGAAUUCACGAUCAGUUGGUUCACGGGAGGUAGAUUCGGGAAGUAAGGCUGAAAAGGGGGCUGGAAAAGAAUCUUUGAGAAAGAAUCAGAGCAUUUCACAUGCUGGAGAGGGCGUUGAUGCACCAUUGCAAAGUGGAAUUGUGCGUGUUUUUGA
RNAcentral lists this unclassified non-coding RNA (321 nucleotides) under Hevea brasiliensis (rubber tree). The record is from RNAcentral. Lineage: Eukaryota; Viridiplantae; Streptophyta; Magnoliopsida; Malpighiales; Euphorbiaceae.